Long non-coding RNA from Daphnia magna, 1797 nucleotides. RefSeq lists it as uncharacterized. The transcript has 6 exons. Lineage: Eukaryota; Metazoa; Arthropoda; Branchiopoda; Diplostraca; Daphniidae. The record is from RefSeq and is a predicted model, not a curated record.
CGUCAUGUUUUGCCUGACAGCUUUCAGGCCCCUGAACGAGAUGGAGUUGAGCAGGAUUCUUGUAGUCCGACAACGCUGUCGGCAGCCAUCUUAAAAAAACUCCACCCUUUUAGUGCACAGGCUCUUAUGGAAGUAUUUUUUCAAAGUAAUUUUUGUCUUAACUGGAUUACAAUUUCGACCAAAGAAAAAUAAUGAAAAAUACUACAUAAUUCAGAUUGUCAUGUGCGAGGAGGAAUUUGUGGAAAAUGCUGUAAUCCAAUUAUUCGACCUCUCCAACCUUGUUAUUGGUCUGUUACAAUACAUAGCAAAUUCUUUCUUCAGUGAGACGUACUCUGCAUUCAUUUUUUCAAGUUGUGCUGUUAACUUUUCGAUUUCUUUUUGCAACUCACUCACCAAUUGGGGUGAGUGUUCACUUGAUGACGGUUCUUCGUCGACCAGGCUGUGGCACGGUUUCGAUGUUGACAGGUCCAUUUGAGAAUCUUGAAGUUCUUCAGCAAGUAGAACUUCACUUGAAUUCAGAUUUUCAUUAACUUCAAAGGGAUGAGGACUGUGUAUCGUAAUGUUGCUAUUAUCUUCCUUCUUGGGUUGGGUAUAGUUUGCUAAAGUGUUCAUAAACAUAGCCUCUGCAACAACAAUACAAUAAUAAAUAUAUGAAAUGUCUUUGAACUUGUAAUGUAUACCUCAGUUGUAGGUAUACAACACUCUUCUUUGUAAACGAACGAAAUUCAAAAUGACUACCUUUGUUUCCCUCUAUUGCCCUAUUAUCUUCCUUCAAAUUCCAGACCGAAUAGCCACAACGCCAGCUUAACAUGCGCAGCUCAAAGCUCUACAAUGCAAAAGCUACCCCCGUUACUACUCCUGGUGUACUUCAUGGUAACGCCUACCCGUCAUAGGAGGUAUUCAAGUUUACAGGCCUUAACCAUUAAUUAGGCCAGGACAUAGCAGACCGUUCCAUGUUCAAACUUAGUCUCCAUCACCUAGGCCAACCCUCUGGCUCUUUAAAUGAGUCAUACGGUUGGCCUAGGACAACCUUUUUCAAUGCCUGAUUUUACAAGAAAUCACGGGAUGCCACCUUCUUUUGUUUCAAGCAGAUGAUCAGCUGGUUGAAGUUUGUUUUGUUCUUUUCUUUAUUGUCUAUUUCGAAACGUUAUUUAAAUGGGAAUUUUGUUUUUACGGAACCACGAAAACAAUUUGACAUUAGAAAUAAGAAUAUUUUGUUGAUUGCUAGUGUGUUGGUUGCGUUUUCCCUCCACAAUGGAAAUUACACUGUUGGAUACCGAAAGAAAAACAUUGGGGCAUUAUUUUAAAAAUCAACACACUUAUCAAACAGGUAUCGGAAUCUCACUGGUUUGAAAACGGGGCAACAACCAGCAACUGAACAGUCAGUUGGAAAACAACUUUCCAAGCCUACUAUACAAUUAGGGAUAUACCUUUUAAAUCUUAUUAGGACGUGCAGUACUGGACCGCUAAAGGACGUUAUAAGGACGCGCUUAAGCCACGGUCCUUUUUAAAAAUAAAUCACGUCCCUGAGAAGAAGUCUUAUUUCGAUCCAUUUCUUUAAAAGCCACGUUGCCACAAUUAACAGUGUAGCGUUGGGGUUCAAUUUUUCAAGAAUUACGUACACCACAUCAAAUAAUAAUCUAGAAUUUCUUUUUGAAUACGUAGUGAUUGGUUAACAAGAAGAAGCUCAGUCUAUGAUGCGGGAGUCCAAUGAUCGAAACUUAUAAUAGUUAUAUUUAUCUUCUGGUAUUUUGGUCAAAGAGCGCAAGGUGUAGAUUUAUUAAAGGCUAAAUUUUU